RNAcentral lists this ribosomal RNA (336 nucleotides) under uncultured bacterium. RNAcentral describes it as "bacterial SSU rRNA". It matches the Rfam family "Bacterial small subunit ribosomal RNA", at positions 8 to 334 of the family's 1533-position model. The record is from RNAcentral.
AGGGUUCGAUCAUGGCUCAGGAUGAACGCUAGCGGCAGGCCUAACACAUGCAAGUCGAGGGGCAGCACGAUUAAGAGGUAACUCUUGGUGGGUGGCGACCGGCGGACGGGUGCGUAACGCGUAUGCAACCUGCCUGACACAGGGGGAUAAUCCGAAGAAAUUUGGUCUAAUACCCCAUAAUACUAUACAAGGCAUCUUGUUUAGUUGAAAGCUCCGGCGGUGUCGGAUGGGCAUGCGUUGUAUUAGCUGGUUGGUGAGGUAACGGCUCACCAAGGCGACGAUACAUAGGGGGACUGAGAGGUUAACCCCCCACACUGGUACUGAGACACGGACCAG